Molecule: ribosomal RNA, 301 nt
Filed under: uncultured bacterium
Lineage: Bacteria
Description: partial 16S ribosomal RNA
Rfam family: Bacterial small subunit ribosomal RNA
Source: RNAcentral
CAGCCGCCGCGGGAAUACGGAGGGUGCAAGCGUUAAUCGGAAUUACUAGGCGUAAAGCGCACGCAGGCGGUUUGUUAAGUCAGAUGUGAAAUCCCCGAGCUUAACUUGGGAACUGCAUUUGAAACUGGCAAGCUAGAGUCUUGUAGAGGGGGGUAGAAUUCCAGGUGUAGCGGUGAAAUGCGUAGAGACCUGGAGGAAUACCGGUGGCGAAGGCGGCCCCCUGGACAAAGACUGACGCUCAGGUGCGAAAGCGUGGGGAGCAAACAGGAUUAGAUACCCGUGUAGUCCCUGUCUCUUAUAC